AUGUCUUCUCUGCCCUCAGAUAUGAUACCUCAUGAUUAAUAUAUUGCACAUAGCUGGGAUUAAUUUCCUACAUACAUUUAAUUAAAAGUUUGUUUUUCUGAUAACCUUAUUUUUCUAUUUUAUUUUAUUUUUUGUCAUAUUUCACCAUUCUUUCGUUAAUAAUGUCUGAAUGUAAAUCUGAGUCCUUGGUAAAUUUUAAUGCACCUUGAAGAAACUCUUACACCAUAUCAGAUUUUUUUUCAAGGGUAUAAUACUUUCAAAGGGGACUGCUAUAAAUACUGCUUGGGUAAGAACUGGAAAAAAUCACAUAGGAUUUAAAGAACAGCAUUUAUAGGAAGGACACCACUGACACUGAAAAUUCAGCAUGUUAAAGCACAUCUUUCCAAAUAUGCCCCCCUCCCAGACCUCAAAGAAGAUUUGAAAGACUUGUUCACUCAUAAUAAUCUGCAGUAUGCCAAAGUAAGUGAUAUGUGGUACCUGUUGGAGUGCAAGUGUCCUUAACUGUCUGAUUAGGCGGUAUAUAUUUGAUGGAUGGAGCUUAGUUGGGCAUGACGUAUCCAGAUGAAAUGUAUCAAGCAAGCGUGCAUGCUGGUGACAAAUAUGAGUGGGGAAAUGUCUUUGAAUGUGUCAUGGUUGAAAGGACAAAGUUUUAUUCAUAACUGUGUAUAAAACCAUAAAUGCAGUUUAUGGUGAGAAAAAUGUAAUGCAGCAGCCAUAUAUGAAAUCAUUUUACUUUAAAUGCUGCAUAAUUUGUGGUGUUCCAUGCUGUUUUGCACCAUAGAACUUGUCUUUCCUAUGUUUAUUUCAGUAUCUUCCAUUAUAUUUUUACUGUGCCAUGUCAACCAGUUGCAGAAUAGUGCAACAGAAUUUUCUGAACUUUUUAAAUAAAUAAGCAUUCUAAGUGAUUCAAAGAAGAUCAAACCUAUCCAUUCUGAAGGAAAUCAGCUCUGAGUGCUCACUGGAAGGACAGAUCCUGAAGCUGAGUCUCCAAUACUUUGGCCACCUCAUGAGAAGAGAAGACUCCCUGGAAAAGACCCUGAUGUUGGGAAAGAUGGAGGGCACAAGGAGAAGGGGAUGAUAGAGAACGAGAUGGUUGGACAGCGUUCUCGAAGCUACCCAGCAUGAGUUUGACCAAACUGCGGGAGGCAGUGGAAGACAGGAGUGCCUGGCGUGCUUUGGUCCAUGGGGUCACGAAGAGUCGGACACGACUAAACGACUAAACAGCAGCAACAAGUGAUACAAGUUUUAGUUAAUCCAGUUAUGCAGAUUACCAUCAACAGCAAUCUUAACUUCAGCCUUCUGCUGGUGGGACUCAUUGGUUUAAUUGUGCCCAUACAAUCCAAAGUUUACUGGAAGGUCAAAAUAUUAAUGUAACAUAAUAAGAAAAAUCACAAAAUAUUUCCAUGGACCUGCAUCCAUGGCUAGCUGACCCAUGAGGCAAGGUGAAGUGAUCCCCUCAGGUGGCAGGAUCCGCAGGCACGGCAGAUUCUGUCUCCCAGGAAUGCAUCACUCACUGCUCCCAUGGCACACUCGUUGGAGGAUGGAUCUGCCCUCCUUCCAAUGCAGCCUUUUCUCCCACCCUUUUGUCCAAUGUACAUCUUUGUUCCACUCUUGCUCCUGAUGUAGAUCUUCACUCACCUCUUCUUCCCUGGCGGAGGUGGGGUGAGUGCCAUUUUGUGGUUUGCCUCGGGUGCCAAAACGUCUUGGGCUGGCCCUACCUGCAUCAUACCAUUAAAACUAGCUAAAAUGCUUUAAAGCAGUGCCAGUGCAAUUUUAGUCAGCAGCACCAUUACAUCUUUAAGAGUCAGCAAGUUGGAAUAAAGAGUUUCAAAAACCCAUUUAUAGAUGUGUAUCAAUGUCCAAAUACCAAUUUUACUGCAAACAUUGCACCCGCCAUUUGUAAUAACUUCAUUCCAGCCAUACCUCUUAAUGAAAGGUGUUUUUACAUCCAAGUAUCUCUUGUCUUAGAUGUCCUCUUUUUACUCCUUGCUUUUUCUGAGUUCGAAGGACUCCCCCCCCCCAUAAUUUUGUCUUGCUUGAAGAAGAAGAAUAAAUUAGUGUGCCAAAAUUGGAAUAUUCUCAAAAGUGGGAUCAUGCAAAUGCAAGUUCAUGGUAUUACAAGUUAUAUUGCAGAACUAUUUGUUUAAGUUUCAAUUUAGUCAAAGAGCUCUGUUAAGGAAGGAAACAAGGUAGAUUACCGAGCAAAUGCCCUCGAAGCUAUUGUUUCUUAUUUCUCGACUUAAUUCUGGAUGUAAUUGAUUUAGGCUGGCAGUAGCUUGAAACUCCAAUGGUCAAAGCUUGCACUCGCUACCUGUAUACUACUUGGCCAGACUCAAGGUUCUUAGCAAUUGGGGUCCAGAAUACCUCAAGGACUGCUUGGCCACUGAGGACUUCAUAAGAAUCACUGUUAGUGGCGUACCAUGGUUCAUAUCCAGCAGGAGCCAAUUUUAUGGAACUCCCUUCCUGGUGAGGUCAGACAGACCAUCUCCCUAUUAAACUUUAGACAUCCACUGAAUACUUUUAUUCCAAUGGGCAUUUUAACUGAAUUCUGGUUUUAUAGUUUUAACUGAUCAUUAUUUUCAGUUCCUUUCAGUUACAUGCACACUUCUUAGAGACUGUUCUAAUUAAGCGGUAUAUUGAUGGUGGAAAUGAGCAAAAUGAAAAUGAAAAAUCCUUAUGACAGUGGUUCCAUGUUGGUCUCUGAUCUUAUACACUCAGGAAGUAUGCUCACGGAUUUAUCCAGCGCAUUAUUCUACCUGUUUCCCCAUAGCAUUUAUAUCAAGGAAAUUGUCCUAAGUGUCAAACUAUUUUUCAAGUGACUGAAAGGUUUCACGGGGACUUGUGUUGUUAUUUAUAUGUAUAUGGAGAAAAUUGCAAUGUGUGAGUAAUUUGAAAAAUUUCAGCCGUUUUGAGCAGUAGUGAUCUAGAAAUUGAAUGGGUUGAAAAUACAAUAUUGCAGCGCGCUGCUGCAUAUAUAAUAUAUGUGCAGCAUAUGCUGAAGUCUUUUUCAAAACAUUUACAUUAAACCUGUCAGGUAUUUAUGAAUAGCAAAAAUUAAUUUCCCCACUUCUGUCAUCAGUUAGAGAAAUGGAUUUCAGCACUGAUGACUGUCACUGUUUCCUGCAUACCAGCACAGCUCACUUCAGUGUCAUAGAAUUACACCAGGUGGCCUGCUAAGAGUCAGCUUAAUGUGAUUUCAAAUGAUAGGGUUGGGGAUGUGAGGGAAAUUAAAAUAGUAUCAUACUUAUGAUUUAAAAGCAAGUUAAUUACAAGGGCUUGUUAAUAAACAAAGACAAUUUCAGGGGGUAUUAUCUGUUGUAUAGUAUAUCAAUAAUGAAUAUGAUAUGGAAAUUCCCCCACCUACCCCCCAAUUUAAAGCCAUAUGCCUAUAGCUCAGAAAUAUUGAAUUAAAUUAUUGACAGGCAUUCCUGUAUAAAUACUUUUUGUGUUCCAAAAGAGUUGUUAAUUUUUUUAAAAAAGCUUUUAAAUUGUUUAACUGACAGAUUAGAGCAGUUAUAAGAAAAUGUCAGUGAUUUUCCUCAUGCAAAUUGAAAACCUUUGGCUAUAAUAAAAUAAAUAUGAAUAAAUAGAUGGAAAACAUUUGGAUCCAGCCAGUGCUUUUUUUCAGGUUGCUCCUCCCACACAUAACUAUAACUCAUUUCAGCCUAAUCUAACAUUCUGUUCUGAUGCUGGAGCUGGAUACUUGUUUUUACUAGAUUAUUGAUAACUUUCAGGUUGCUAUCAGUUACAAUCAUUUAAUUUGUUGCUGCUCAGGAUCCUCGCGUACUCUAGCAAGAGAGAUUUGUGUGCUCAGGUAAUGCAGAUGCGCAUUCUGAUGGCAUUUUGAUGCUCAUUGAUCUUGAAAGAUUUAGCUGAUGAGAAUGAGAUUAUACA
Podarcis lilfordi (Lilford's wall lizard) is the source of this 3894-nucleotide non-coding RNA. NCBI's taxonomy places the organism in Eukaryota, Metazoa, Chordata, Lepidosauria, Squamata, Lacertidae. The record is from the annotation of a GenBank genome assembly.